RNAcentral lists this ribosomal RNA (421 nucleotides) under uncultured bacterium. RNAcentral describes it as "bacterial SSU rRNA". It matches the Rfam family "Bacterial small subunit ribosomal RNA", at positions 355 to 774 of the family's 1533-position model. The record is from RNAcentral.
UAAGGAAUAUUGCUCAAUGGCCGAAAGGCUGAAGCAGCAACGCCGCGUGAAGGAUGAAGGGAUUUUUCUUGUAAACUUCUGUAAGAGGGGAAAAAUAGUUUUGAUUUAUCAAAACUUGAUUGUACCUUCAGAGUAAGCCCCGGCUAACUACGUGCCAGCAGCCGCGGUAAUACGUAGGGGGCAAGCGUUGUCCGGAUUUACUGGGUGUAAUGGGUGCUCAGGCGGAAUUGUAAGUCAGAGGUGAAACUCCGAAGCUUAACUUCGGAACUGCCUUUGAUACUGCAAUCCUAGAUUGUGAGAGAGGCGAGUGGAAUAGCUGGUGGAGCAGUGAAAUGCGUAGAUAUCAGAUACAACACCAAUGGCGAAGGCAGCUCGCUGGCUCAUUACUGACGCUAAAGCACGAAAGUGUGGGUAGCAAACA